Molecule: ribosomal RNA, 503 nt
Filed under: uncultured bacterium
Lineage: Bacteria
Description: partial 16S ribosomal RNA
Rfam family: Bacterial small subunit ribosomal RNA
Source: RNAcentral
AACGAACGCUGGCGGCGUGCCUAACACAUGCAAGUCGAACGAGAAAGGGGCUUCGGCUCCGAGUAAAGUGGCGCACGGGUGAGUAGCACGUGGGUAACCUGCCUCUAAGAUUGGGAUAACUCGUCGAAAGAUGAGCUAAUACCGAAUAAGACCACAGUUCCCGCGGGAACAGGGGUCAAAGGUAGCCUCUGCUUGCAAGCUAUCACUUAGAGAUGGGCCUGCGCACCAUUAGCUAGUUGGUAGGGUAACGGCCUACCAAGGCAAAGAUGGUUAGCUGGUCUGAGAGGAUGAUCAGCCACACUGGAACUGAGACACGGUCCAGACUCCUACGGGAGGCAGCAGUGGGGAAUAUUGCGCAAUGGGCGAAAGCUUGACGCAGCAACGCCGCGUGAGUGAUGAAGGCCUUCGGGUCGUAAAGCUCUGUCGGGAGGAACGAAUGCUCCUGAGGUUAACAGCCUCGGGAGGUGACGGUACCUUCAAAGGAAGCACCGGCUAACUCUGUG